CAUGGAUCGGGAGUGCUCAGAGAUGGGUGUGCCUCUUUUGGGGUCGGUUCACAGGUGGUGCAUGGCUGUCGUCAGCUCGUGUCGUGAGAUGUUGGGUUAAGUCCCGCAACGAGCGCAACCCUUGUUCACUGUUGCCAGCACGUUAUGGUGGGGACUCAGUGGAGACCGCCGGGGUCAACUCGGAGGAAGGUGGGGAUGACGUCAAGUCAUCAUGCCCCUUAUGUCCAGGGCUUCACGCAUGCUACAAUGGCUGGUACAGAGAGUGGCGAGCCUGUGAGGGUGAGCGAAUCUCGGAAAGCCGGUCUCAGUUCGGAUUGGGGUCUGCAACUCGACCUCAUGAAGUCGGAGU
RNAcentral lists this ribosomal RNA (349 nucleotides) under uncultured Propionibacterium sp. RNAcentral's name for it is "bacterial SSU rRNA". It matches the Rfam family "Bacterial small subunit ribosomal RNA", at positions 985 to 1332 of the family's 1533-position model. Lineage: Bacteria; Bacillati; Actinomycetota; Actinomycetes; Propionibacteriales; Propionibacteriaceae. The record is from RNAcentral.